Molecule: unclassified non-coding RNA, 235 nt
Filed under: Hevea brasiliensis (rubber tree)
Lineage: Eukaryota; Viridiplantae; Streptophyta; Magnoliopsida; Malpighiales; Euphorbiaceae
Source: RNAcentral
UGUCCAUGAAAAUUUGGUGACCCAGAAUUUGGGAUUAUUAGUUCUUGAUUCCACAUAUUUGAAUCAGCUCGUCAUUAGAUUCUGCAUAUAAAUUCUCUUCUUUGAUCCCAAAAACUUGAGUACUCGACUUCCACCAUGAAAGAGAAGUUUUCCCAAGCUUGCCCCAUUUUUUCAUUUCGUCUUGUCUGAUGGCUUCUGCCUAUGCGUCCUUGAAAUCAUUGCGUUUGUAGCCUGC